CCUACGGGAGGCAGCAGUGAGGAAUAUUGGUCAAUGGGCGCAAGCCUGAACCAGCCAUGCCGCGUGCAGGAAGAAUGCCCUACGGGUUGUAAACUGCUUUUAUUUGGGAAUAAACCUUUCUACGUGUAGAAAGCUGAAGGUACCAAUUGAAUAAGCACCGGCUAACUCCGUGCCAGCAGCCGCGGUAAUACGGAGGGUGCAAGCGUUAUCCGGAAUCAUUGGGUUUAAAGGGUCCGCAGGCGGACCUAUAAGUCAGUGGUGAAAGCCUACAGCUUAACUGUAGAACUGCCAUUGAAACUGUAGGUCUUGAAUUCGGUCGAAGUGGGCGGAAUGUGUAGUGUAGCGGUGAAAUGCAUAGAUAUUACACAGAACACCGAUAGCGAAGGCAGCUCACUAGGCCUGGAUUGACGCUCAGGGACGAAAGCGUGGGGAUCAAACAGGAUUAGAUACCCUGGUAGUCCACGCCGUAAACUAUGAUUACUCGUUUUCGGUCGAUAUACAGUCGGAGACUAAGCGAAAGUGAUAAGUAAUCCACCUGGGAGUACGAUCGCAAGGUUGAAACUCAAAGGAAUUGACGGCUAGAGAGACGACGACGACGACGACGGAGGAGGAGG
This 614-nucleotide ribosomal RNA is filed under the name uncultured bacterium. Its description in RNAcentral is "bacterial SSU rRNA". It matches the Rfam family "Bacterial small subunit ribosomal RNA", at positions 338 to 956 of the family's 1533-position model. The record is from RNAcentral.